Molecule: long non-coding RNA, 562 nt
Filed under: Salvia miltiorrhiza (redroot sage)
Lineage: Eukaryota; Viridiplantae; Streptophyta; Magnoliopsida; Lamiales; Lamiaceae
Description: long non-coding RNA (SMIL_LNC009547)
Source: RNAcentral
UUUUUUACUACUAUAACUAUUAUUUUUCUAUUAUAUUUUUUUAUUGAGUUAUCGAUUAUUGUGCGCAACAUUUCCAUAACUAAAAUCAUUCACUUAUACUCCGUAUUUUUUUUUCUUUUUUUUCAAUUUCGUUAAUUUAUUUUGAUUUUUUCAUCAGCAUAUAGUUUUAUGAAAUAAUCAAAGAAUGCAGUUAAUGUAUGGUAUUAUCCUAACCGUUAUAGUAAUUCAUUCCUGUUUUAUAUUUUUAUUUUAAAUUCGCUAAUGUAUUGCAAUAUAAAAUGUCUUGUAACUAUAAGAGUAACUGUGUUCUUCAUUAUAUUGCAAAUGUUACUAUGGGAAAAGGCAAAUGAAAAUUUUAAAAUCUUGGGACGUUGACAGUUCAAAUUUCUUUAUGAAAUUAUUAUUAUUUUUUGUUAUCUUUUCUAUUUUAUUUUAUUUUAUUGCAAUUUAUUUCCAUAAUAUUGAGAAUUGAGUUUUUGUCUUAUUUUAUUUUUUAAUAUAUUUUUUUUCUUCAGAGAUCCUAUAUUUUUUAUAUUGAGAGGGUGUUUGCCAAACACCUAAU